Molecule: ribosomal RNA, 184 nt
Filed under: uncultured bacterium
Lineage: Bacteria
Description: partial 16S ribosomal RNA
Rfam family: Bacterial small subunit ribosomal RNA
Source: RNAcentral
GGCAGCAGUGGGGAAUAUUGGACAAUGGGCGAAAGCCUGAUCCAGCCAUGCCGCGUGUGUGAAGAAGGUCUUCGGAUUGUAAAGCACUUUAAGUUGGGAGGAAGGGCAGUAAAUUAAUACUUUGCUGUUUUGACGUUACCGACAGAAUAAGCACCGGCUAACUCUGUGCCAGCAGCCGCGGUAA